UUCAUUAAUAUUCAUUCGAUAUAUCGCAAGAGUAACUGAGUAAGUGACGAUGCACCCCUGGCAUUGUGCCUAUCGGAGUGCAUAAUCAAAACAAAAACAAAAAACAGCUGAUUGGGAAUUGCAUUACAUGCAAAUUUUAUGCUGCUGAUUGCAUACGAAAUACAGGCGGGCGCAAUACUGUAGACAGCGGAAUUGCAUUAAGUGCAAGCUGACUAGCAGGAACACCUAUAAGAUGCGCAACAAACUUAGCAGUGAGAAGAUCCGCUAAUUGGAUUUAGAGAGAAGAGUCGGGACAUCGUCCGGUCAUUUUCUCCAUACUUGUCUAAGCUAAUAUAACUUUUAAUUAAAUUCUUGAACUUAUAUCUAUAAUUCUUUUCAUUUUAUCACCUUUAUUUCAGUCUAAAAAGUUAAAUUAAACCGCAAGUGCAAUUUAGGAGAGAUUGUGCAGCUGUGCGUUUAUACGUUUAUCGGGAUGCAUAAAUCAAAACAAAAGAACUAUCGCAAAAAAAAAAAACAAUCGCGAAGAGAGGUUGUGCACCCCUGGUAUGCAUAUCGAUAUGCACAGAUAAAAACAUAUGUUUGAAGAACAUAUGAUGAAAAGGCAGAGUGCAAUUUAUUGCAAAAGUUGCAACUGAAAGAGAUGAGUAUGGAUUCUAAUAAGAA
This 663-nucleotide small RNA is filed under the name Drosophila mojavensis. RNAcentral describes it as "GI25906". Lineage: Eukaryota; Metazoa; Arthropoda; Insecta; Diptera; Drosophilidae. The record is from RNAcentral.